This 441-nucleotide ribosomal RNA is filed under the name uncultured bacterium. RNAcentral's name for it is "partial 16S ribosomal RNA". It matches the Rfam family "Bacterial small subunit ribosomal RNA", at positions 338 to 795 of the family's 1533-position model. The record is from RNAcentral.
CCUACGGGUGGCAGCAGUGGGGAAUAUUGCACAAUGGGGGAAACCCUGAUGCAGCGACGCCGCGUGAGCGAGGAAGUAUUUCGGUAUGUAAAGCUCUAUCAGCAGGGACGAAAAACGCCGGUACCUGACUAAGCAGCCCCGGCUCACUACGUGCCAGCAUCCCCGGUUAUACGUAGGGGGCAAGCGUUAUCCGGAUUUACUGGGGGUAAAGGGAGCGUAGACGGCAAGGCCAGCCAGAAGUGAAAGGGCAGGGCUCAAACCUGUACAUGCUUUUGGAACUGUGGUGCUAGAGUGCAGGAGAGGUAAGUGGAAUUCCUAGUGUAGCGGUGAAAUGCGUAGAUAUUAGGCGGAACACCAGUGGCGAAGGCAGCAUACUGGACUGUAACUGACGUUGAGGCUCGAAAGCGUGGGGAGCGAACAGGAUUAGAUACCCGGGUAGUC